CGCAGUUCAAUUGGUGCUAAUUAGCUCACGUGAGGCGCAUGCGGUGACAUCAUCGCUGAGAGAGGGACAGGAGGGAAACUAGAGGUAACGCAGGUGUGCUGUCCAGUGGAUUUUACAAAAUUGCGCACGGAAGUUGUGUAUUAACUUGUUUCUUUGGAUUACCAGCAAAAUACUCUACUGAAGGACGUGUUUUGGAACUUUUACACGAAGUUUUGAGCCCUGUCGCCUCUGAGUUGUGGACGGACUGUGAGCUGCUGCUAGCUUAACCAGCUGGACCCAGUUGUUUGUUUGGACUUCUUUCAACCUGGGAACAAGAAACUUCAAAGGAUAUAGCGCUCUAAGCUGGAUGCUUAGAGUUCAUCAAAGAAUGUGUGAUGACCACUUGACUUGAUGACUGCUUGCAAGCUGCCAUGUUGCUCAUUGAAGAGGCCUACAGGUUACCUUCACCUGUGAAUGGACCACACAUCUCACCCUUCAUCCUCUGAGACAUGAAAAAGGGAAAUGGAAUCCGCACUCGUUUUGAUGAAGAACUGCAGCCGUUUCUUUGUUUGGGCUGCAGAUGGAGAGAGGCUGAUGCUGGGUGGUAUGAAUGUGGUUGAGCCCUGAACUCUGGAGUAAAUGGGACUGGAUAAUGGUCACUUUUCCCAAGCUCUAAACCCUUCUUUUAUCUCGCUCCGCCACUAAACCUAAAUAAAGAGCAACAAUUUACCCUGGAGUGAGAAACUUGACCCAAACUUGAUGCUUAUGGCUGAAGGGCUGAUCUAAACCCCCUCAGCCCGUCAUGGUGGGAGGAUUUAGGGAAGAAAUUCUCAGUCCAUCUUUUACCUGUUGCUCUGGUCUCUAUGUUAUCACGUGUGCAAGUAAAUAAAAAAUACGUACGAUGA
This is a long non-coding RNA of Notolabrus celidotus (New Zealand spotty), 884 nucleotides long. RefSeq lists it as uncharacterized. NCBI's taxonomy places the organism in Eukaryota, Metazoa, Chordata, Actinopteri, Labriformes, Labridae. The transcript has 2 exons. The record is from RefSeq and is a predicted model, not a curated record.